GAACGGUAACGCGGGGGCAACCCUGGCGACGAGUGGCGAACGGGUGAGUAAUACAUCGGAACGUACCCAGUAGUGGGGGAUAGCUCGGCGAAAGCCGGAUUAAUACCGCAUAUGCCUACGGGUGAAAGCGGGGGACCGCAAGGCCUCGCGCUAUUGGAGCGGCCGAUGUCGGAUUAGCUUGUUGGUGGGGUAAAAGCCUACCAAGGCGACGAUCCGUAGCUGGUCUGAGAGGACGACCAGCCACACUGGGACUGAGACACGGCCCAGACUCCUACGGGAGGCAGCAGUGGGGAAUUUUGGACAAUGGGCGAAAGCCUGAUCCAGCAAUGCCGCGUGUGUGAAGAAGGCCUUCGGGUUGUAAAGCACUUUUGGCGGGAACGAAACAGCGCUUGCUAAUACCGGGCGCGAAUGACGGUACCCGCAGAAUAAGCACCGGCUAACUACGUGCCAGCAGCCGCGGUAAUACGUAGGGUGCGAGCGUUAAUCGGAAUUACUGGGCGUAAAGCGUGCGCAGGCGGCUUUGUAAGACAGAUGUGAAAGCCCCGGGCUUAACCUGGGAAGUGCAUUUGUGACUGCAAGGCUAGAGUGCGUCAGAGGGAGGUGGAAUUCCGCGUGUAGCAGUGAAAUGCGUAGAGAUGCGGAGGAACACCGA
Molecule: ribosomal RNA, 652 nt
Filed under: uncultured bacterium
Lineage: Bacteria
Description: bacterial SSU rRNA
Rfam family: Bacterial small subunit ribosomal RNA
Source: RNAcentral